This 254-nucleotide ribosomal RNA is filed under the name uncultured bacterium. Its description in RNAcentral is "partial 16S ribosomal RNA". It matches the Rfam family "Bacterial small subunit ribosomal RNA", at positions 524 to 777 of the family's 1533-position model. The record is from RNAcentral.
UACGUAGGUGGCGAGCGUUGUCCGGAAUUACUGGGUGUAAAGCGCGUGUAGGCGGGAGGCCAAGUCUGCGGUGAAAUCGCUCGGCUCAACUGGGCGGGGUCCGUGGAAACUGGUCACCUGGAGGACGGUAGAGGCGAGUGGAAUUCCCGGUGUAGUGGUGAAAUGCGUAGAGAUCGGGAGGAACACCAGUGGCGAAGGCGGCGACCUGGGUCGAGACUGACGCUGAGGCGCGAAAGCGUGGGGAGCAAACAGGG